AGAGCCCUGCUGUUGGAUGUUCCUGUAGAUUUUUCUGACAGUGCGUUGCAGAGCCAUUCUUCACAAGUUAUUACGAGUAAACAUGAAGAAAGAAGCUUCCAUAGCAAGACAGUACUAAACCAGCUCCUCUUCAAAAUCUUUACCAAAAUUAUGUUGUGUGACCGGGUGCAAAGGAAAUUACCGGACGGGACCAAAAGUGCAAGUUUUUACAUUUCCAAAGGAAGAAAAAUUAUUAGAAAAAUGGAAACUGGCUAUCCCAAGGGAAAAUUUAACAAUCAGCAAAACAACAAAUGUGUGUGAACAGCAUUUUCACCCUCAUGAAAUUAUAACAUCAUCUCAAGAUGUCAGAAGAAAUGGAGACGUUCCUCGCACCCUUGCAAGACCAAGUUUGCUUUCAACAGCAGUUCUUCAGUUUUUCCGAGCUGCCCUCACUAUUUGAGCAAACCUCCAAGCUACAGAAUUGGCCCUGAGGUAAAGAGACAGAAACUUGAAGAGCAAAAUAUUCAGGCAGCUGUUCAGGAUAGUCUGAAGGAAAGGGAAAUAUAUUUAACAGCUCAGUCCAUUGGAUCACUGUAUGAGUUAAAGGCAAAACUGUCAAUGUUAACACUAUCUGAUUUCUGUAGUAUCAUUACAAAACCUACAUCUGUAUUGUUUGCAAAAAUUCAGACAGUUCCUUCUCCUGUGAUAAAAUAUUCUGUUCUUGUUAGUGAAGGCCUUGAUGUAUCCGUAUUUGUCCUGAACAAGCAGAAAACAAAAUAGGACUAAAUGGCAACAAAGUUUUAACAAGGGUUUCAAGCAUUCUUGAAUUAGGUAGUGUGUUAGACUGUGUGGAAGAAGCUGACAUGCAGAUUAAUGUUCCUAAUAUUAUUGAACAAAUUUUGAGUUAUGUAUGUGACAUUCUGCAGACACUUAAUUUAUCUGAGUAUGAAAAGAGCAAAAACAUACACUUUAUAAUUGAACAUUUGAAAUUACUAUCAUCAAAGAAAAUUUCAUACACUCCAUCAUUCAUGAUAUUUUCGUGUUUAUCUUACAGUAUUUCCCCAUGUGCUUAUAGGUUUAAUAGAGAUUAUGGUUUUUUUGUAGGCCCUCAUCCAUCAACAAUUCAAAGAGUGUGUUCUAGUAUUAACAUAGGCUCCCAGAAAGAGCAAUAUGAAAAUAAUUUUUUAUCAUAUACAAGAGGUAAAUUUAAAUUUCAUGAAUCACAUGAAUAUCAUGUCAACCUUUUAAUAGAUGAGAUACAUCUAAAAGAAUAUUUUGACUAUAAAGGAGG
This is a long non-coding RNA of Schistocerca americana (American grasshopper), 1270 nucleotides long. RefSeq lists it as uncharacterized. The transcript has 3 exons. NCBI's taxonomy places the organism in Eukaryota, Metazoa, Arthropoda, Insecta, Orthoptera, Acrididae. The record is from RefSeq and is a predicted model, not a curated record.